GACUAAAAGGGGAAUUGUAGGAGAACCUGUAGCCAUGCCUGCUUAGGGGCUGGCUAAAGGUCUGUCCUACCACACCUUCGAGGGAGUGGUCACGGUGAUGUAGAGUGAGAGGUUCAGAUGGCUGGGUUUUGCUUUCAGUUUCACUUUUUUGGCUUGCUGUACAGACUGCUGCUGAGCUGGCUGGCUAGGUCGCUCUGUCACAGUACAUCAUUGAUGGAAGUCAAGGGAGGAACUCAAACAGGAAAUUGGAGAAGAAGCCAUGGAAGAAUGCUUCUUGCUAGUUCAUCUUCAAGUUUAUGCUUAGCUAUCUUCCCAAUAUAUCCUAGGUCACCUACCUACCUAUGGUACUAUCCAUGACAAUCCAAGACUUUCUACAUUAAUUAAUUAUCAAGACAAUCCUCCACAGAUAUACCCACGGGUCAAUAUAAUCUGGGGAAUCUUUCAUUUGAGACUCCUUUCUCUAUGUUGUGUCCAAUUGACAAUUAGAGAUAACUAGGACACCAAAAUAUAAACUGGUUUUGGUGAAUGGAUUUGUUUAUUUAUUUUGUGACAUGGUCUCAGGUAAACCAGGCUGGAUUCUAACUUUCUCUGUUAAUCAGGAUGACCUUGAAUUUCUUGUACCACUAUUUCUAUAGCCUUAGUCCUUAUCUGCCAACAGAAUGCCUGGUUAAUAAGAGAAUGCUGGACCUGCAAUUCCCUUUCCUGCUACAUCAUGACUGUGCUGGCGGGCUCUCUUGCCUACCUUUCCCAGACUUCUCUUCUUCUCCAAGUCCUGCCUUAUUGGCCAUUGGCCCAACAGUGUUUUAUUCAUCAACCAAUAAGAGAAACAUAUACAAAAGGACAUGCACCAUCAAUUAUAU
RNAcentral lists this long non-coding RNA (860 nucleotides) under Cricetulus griseus (Chinese hamster). Its description in RNAcentral is "lncRNA (ENSCGRG00015039237.1)". Lineage: Eukaryota; Metazoa; Chordata; Mammalia; Rodentia; Cricetidae. The record is from RNAcentral.